Molecule: long non-coding RNA, 2389 nt
Organism: Vespa velutina
Lineage: Eukaryota; Metazoa; Arthropoda; Insecta; Hymenoptera; Vespidae
Exons: 3
Source: RefSeq, a predicted model, not a curated record
GAGAGAGAGAGAGAGAGAGAGAAGGAGGUACUUUGCCACGAACGGCACAGAGUGCUGCUGGAGGAAGCAGUAGAGAUGGAGUUUCGAGUCAGACAGUGAAGAACCACAGACCUUCUCCUCUGCUGCCAACUUGUUAACGUCGAAUGGCAAAGUUACAGAUUGCCGUCGAAAGAGUACCAUUUCUUUUUCUACCUUUUCUUUUAUUCUCUUUCUAUUUCUCUCCCUCUCUCUCUCUCUCUCUCUCUCUCUCUCUCUGUCAAUCUCUGUCUUGCUUUUUCUCUUUCUCUUUUUACCAUCCCAGUCGUGGACCUCUCGCGCGAAACGACCACUAUCUUCUCGUUCGCAGGGUCGAGUAGAUAAAGUUGUCGUCGUUGUGUCGUCUUCGUUUCCGGCAACGAACCUACACUACGCUUUCUUUACUCUCCUUCUUUCUUCUUUUUCUUCUUUCUUACUUUCUUUUUCUUUUCUCCUUUUCCUUUUCUCCCGUUUUUCUUCCUUUUUCUUUUUUUUUUUUCCUUGAAUCUUUUUUUUCUUGAACCUUGGCCACGUUCAUAAAACGUUUGCUCUUAGUUUUACGAGGAAAGAUGCUCGAGUCUAGUUCAUCAUAACAUUAUUCGUGAUAUUUUUGAGAGAGAAUUAUAAUAAUUCAUCGUGUUUCUUGUUAAUAGAUCAAAGAAAACUGAUAAUCAUGUUAGCCAUGGAAAUAUAUAAUUAUUAUUAUUAUUAAUAUUAUUAUUAUUAUUAUUAUUAUUAUUAUUAUUUUACUUUUGUUUACAAGCUAGUAAAAGGAUUUACUCUCGGGUCCUUCAUCAAUCGGUUUACGCCGGCGUAGUCCGAUAACAAAAAGCAAGAGGCGUGGAAUCGAUCGCAAAGGACUUAACGAAAAUUUUACGCUUCAUUGAUCCUGCGAGAUCGUUCUGUCGCACGUCCCAUCUAGCGCGGACCAAAGUAUCAUCGUCUAUCGCGUAAUAUUUCUUUCCUCUCUCGAGCUUUUUCCCUCGAUCCUAUAUAAUCAUAGUGAAGAAAAGAAAAAGAAAAAGAAAAAGAAAAAGAAAAAGAGAAAAAAAAGAUAAAGAAAAGAAAUAUAACGAAGAAGAAAUAAGGACAUAAGAAAAUCAGCUCGAUCUUCGUUUACCUCGAGAAGCUCGUAAAAGCAUCGUAAAAGAACUCGAAUUCGAAAUUCUCUAUCGUCAAGAUAUCGGUACAAAAGAAAAAAAGAUUAAGGGUGCUUCGAAAAAUCUCUCUGUCCAUCGAUCUUCUCGAAGUCCCUUGUCGCACGUUCCAUCUGCGAGACGAAGCGAACGUAUCGGUGUUUUAUUAGAUCGUCGGGUAAAUUCCUCUUCUUUCUCUCUCUUUCUUUCCCCUCCCCCUCUCUCUCUCUUUCUUUUUCGAGAAUAACGUCAGUAUAUUAUAUCGUUCGACGUAUCUCGAUAACUCAAACUUUGUUGGUUGGUCAGUGCCGAGUAACCACUAUUGCCGGUGGCUACCAAUACUCUCGGAUGCGAAGGUAAAACUUUGAAACAACGCUGAUUCCGCAAGGAUUCUGUCCAGUAGACAUGGUCCAUUAAAACAACCACGAGGCAGUAUAUGACGACGGUAUAUCUGAUUUGAUGGACGCCAUGUCAAACUUCCCGUUGAUUGACGACAUGUUCGGACACGGAGGCUCGACCGAAACAUCACUGGUACUUCCCUCAUUUUUUCUUUCUUUUUACACGGAGAAAAAGAGAGAGAGAGAGAGAGAGAGAGAGAGAGAGAGAAGUUUAACGGACGUCCACUUAGCUCGUUCAGCAAACGAUGCAAUACCGUUACGAUGUAAAACGAGAUUUUAUAAAAUAAUUAGUUUUCAACGUUUUUCAAGAAUCGUUCGAGUCCCAUGUGCCCAUGGAAAUUGCGUUAUUCGGUUCUGCGACCAACAAGUCCUGGCCGCUGUAACAUGACACGUCGGCUGUGUUAUUUGCGCAACGUUUAAACGAUUUCCUCUCGAAACGAUCAAGCGACUCGUUGAUCCACUCGAAUGCAUAGAAAUAUAUUGCGAUUCGUGUGAAUCGAGAGAAUACCUCUCUCGGUGUGAUACUUUCUUCUGUUUUUAUCGUACACACGGUAUCAUUGAUACGGCUUUUUAUAUACGAAAAAUAACGAUACGUUAACGCAUUCCAGAUAGAUCACGUUAUAGAUAUCUCCUAUUUCGUAUUAUGUGUUAGUUACGAAUUUUUCGUACAAUCAAUAAUACGAUAUAACGAUUUAUUUUUUCGAUCAAGUUUAAAGUAUUUAAUUGUUUAUCUAAACUACCUAAAAUUAUAUAUAUGUAUAUAUAUAUAUAUUUUUUUUUUGUUGAUUUAAUUGGAUAUAGAUUACAUAGUUAUUGAGGAAUAACAUAAGAAAGAUUAUA